GGAAAACAUACUAGGCUGUGACAAUGCAUUCAAACAGGCUAAGCUCGAAUCGCCGAUGAAAAAGAUGGAUGCAAUGCUUGGAAAGAUCAUUAGCAACACCUUGACCAUUGGUCUCGACAUGGUCCACUUUUAAAGGAACAACUUAUUAAAAGUUUGUGAUUAGGCCAAUAAAAUAGGCCAUGUCAGCGUUCUUUAAUUAUUUAAUGGAAAAGCGAUUAAAAAAAUCAAUUGUUGAAAAUAUUAAUGAUGAAAUUGAAAUUUGUUUUUGUUUGGUGACUAAAAUAGAAUCACUCUAAUAUAUUGUGCUAUUUUUUUAGUAGAAAUUUUAAAAGAUAUGGCCAUAUUAAUUAAUUUCACAUUGACAUAUUAUCAUAUUAAUUAAUAUUAAUUUUAUUAUUAUCAUAUAAUAAAUGAUAUUUUCGUAAAUCCAAAUUUUUUUCAAAACACGUGCUUUUAUAUAUAUCAUAGAUGUAAUUGUUAGUUUAGAAAUGCAAAAAAAGGUACAUGUAUUUAAAAACAAUAAAUAAAUUAUGUAAUAUAUAUUUAUUAUUGAAAACAUUUAAUUAUGUACUUAAGAUAUUUGAAAAUUAAAUAUAUAUAUAUAUGAUAUAUGUUAUAUACACUAGAUAAUAAAAAUAUUAAUAGAAAUAAGAUAAAUAUAUACUUCAUUUUACUUAAAUUAUAUUCAACUCAUCCCUUCCUAAUAUAUUUAGAUUAAUUUGCAACGUAUUUAUUAAAUUCUUUUGGAAUUUAAAUUAUUUAAAUAAUUUAAAAAUUAUCAUAUUAGAUAAUAAGAACUUAAUAUGGUAAAGUGAAGUUCUUUUUUCAAUAAAACUAUAAUUAUAACAAUAAUUAAAAAAUAUCAUAAAACAAAGAUUAUAAGAACAUACCAAUAACUCAUGUUAUUUAUCUUUUAUUUACUAGAUUUUAAAAUUUUAGUCUAGAAACAUUUUUAUUAGAUAUUAUAGGGGUAAAAUGGUAAUUUAAAGAGUCGAAGAUGGAUAGAGCAGAGCAAAUAUUUACCACAACUUCCUCAAUCAAUUUUGCUGACCUACCAUUUAAAAGAAAACCCUCUUAUUUAGAGUAGAGUACUACAAAAUUUAUAGAGCAAUUUAGAUUUUGUCAUCCUAACAAGAACUCUGAAUAUAGUUAAAGCCUAGUAUUGCCCGACCAGUAAUGAAUACAAUUCUAUUUGAGAUUAACCCCUCCUUAUUGACAUGGUUAACAACUAAUAAGCAGUUUAAUGACGACUCAACCAUGGACCAUGUAGCUUUUCCGAGACAGUUUGAACAAAUAUGUAUCAUGGUAGGCUAUGUUGGAGUUUCAGAAGAAGCAAUCAAGUUACUGCUGAUCCCUUUUGCCUUUGGAGGCCAGAUUCAAGAAUGGUUAGAAGCGUUGCCUCCGGGAACAAUUACAACAUGGGAAGAUUUUUUGCAAUGAUUCUUACUAAGGAUUAUACCCAUGCUUGUGAUGUUAAAGACAAAUGAUGAGCUAUUGCAAUUUAAACAAAGUCCCAUCGAAAUGCUUAGUCAAACAUGAGAUAGAUUCAAAAUAAUUGUGCAAAAUGCUCUAGAGGAUGGAAUUAAUACAGUCAUUCAAUUACAACACUUUUAUGUAGGUUUAGAUUAGGAGAGCAAAGAAUAGUUUGAUGUAAUGGUUAGAGGAAGUGUUUGGUCAAAAAAUGCUUAGGAAAUUGUUAUGCACCUUGAAAUAGUAAGCAGUAAUGAUUAUACUUGGAGAAAAAUCAAAGAAAUAGAAUUGAUAGAAGAAGUAAUGAGAACUGAUGAGACGAAAGAAGACAACGAGGAAGACAUGGAAGAACAAUUGAGCGAAAAUGAAGAUUGCACUUCAAAUUUUGAAGAAACCCUAAAAGACGAAUUUUUUGAGAAACUGCUCGAAAAGCAAUUAAAACACAUCUAUCAACAGGACUGGAAAAGACAAUAUAAAAAACCUCUACACCAAUCAGAUAAUCUUUCAGCCAAGAUGACUCUGUCAAUUAUCAAACCACCUGUGUUGGAAUUAAAACCCCUUUCUCGCACACUUAAAAUGCGGGUAUUUGGGUGAUAAUAACACUUUACCAGUAGUCAUUGCACAAGGCUUAUCGGUGGAAUAGUAGAAAACACUCUUGGAUGUACUCAAUGCUCAUAAAAAUCUAUUGGGUGGAAAAUUGCAAACAUUAAAGGAAUCAAUCCAAUUUUAUAUCAGCAUAAAAUAAGAUUGGAUGAAGGAAAAAAUCCAGUGGUCAACAUUCUGUGAUGUCUUAAUCCAACAAUGAAGAAGGUGGUCAAGAAGAAACUGAUAAAGUGUUGGGAUGCAGGAAUUGUCUACCUCAUCUAUGAUAGCAAAUGGGUGAGGCCAACACAAUAUGUUCCAAAAAAGAAGAGGAAUGACAAUGGUGACAAACGAGAAGAAUGAAUUGAUUCCUACUUGGACAGUUACAAGAUGGAGGGUAUGUUUUGACUACAAGAAAAAUAAUAACACAACUAAAAAGCAUCACUUUCCACUGCCAUUUAUAGACCAAAUUCUUGACCAGAUGGGUAGGUAAGAAAUUCCUAUGGAUAUCAUCAAAUCCCUAUCCAUCCGGGUAAUCAGGAAAAGAAUAUGUUUACAUGUCCUUUUGGAAUGUAUGUUUUUCGAAGGAUGUCGUUUGGAAUAUGCAACACUCCAGCUACAUUCAUGUGUUGUAUGACUGCAACUUUUGCAGACAUGUUAGAAGAAGGAUUAGAUAUAUUCAUGGAUGAUUUUUUUUGUUUAUGGAGAUUCAUUCAUAGAAUGUCUACACAAUCUUGAACGAGUUCUAAAAAGAUGUGAAGAAACUAAUUUGGUGCUCAAUAAGGAAAAUAAAGUUUUAUUGUAAAAUAAGGAAUUGUUCUCGGACAUCAUAUUUCCAAAAAAGGUUUGAAGGUUGAUAAAGCCAAGAUUGAAGUGAUGGAGAAGCUAACAUACCCAACAAAUGUUCGAAGAGUGAGAAAUUUCUUAAGACACGCCGACUUUUAUAGACGAUUCAUAAAAGACUUUGCACAAGUCUUAAAAUCGUUGAGCCAACUAUUGUAGAAAGAUGUCCCUUUCGAUUUCAACGAAAAAUGCAUCGAGGCUUUCGACAUUCUAAACUAGAAAUUAGUCUCCGCACCCUGAUAAGUGCUAAAAGUAACAUAUUUUAACCUUGUUUUUAAGGCUUUUUUAGGUGAUUAUUCAAUGUUAAUUGUGAAUUUUAUGCCUCUAAUCCUUUAAAGUCAUGUUUUUAUGCCUAGUAGAGAAUUUGGGAGCAAAAAGAGCAAAAAAAGUGUAAAAAUCAAAAAAUCAGAGCAAGCUACAAGAGCCACAUGGGCUGACCCAUUCCACACAACCGUUUGACCCACUCGGGCUACCACACGGCCAUGUGUUAGGCUAUGUUGAUUGCGCGAAUUUGUACACUGAAUAGAGAAAAAACAUAAUUUUUAGGUUUUUCGAGCAUUCUAAGACGUAUAUAUAUGACAAAAAGAAGAAAAUAGAAGGGAGUCGUCAUAGAAUAUUCAAGAAAACAACUCGAAAAACACCAUUGAAGCCGAUCAUGAAGCAAAUUUUUGUCAAGAUUGAAGAUUCCCAGUUGAUUUCUUAGGAGAUUAUCAUGAGUUCUUUAUUUCUUUCGGUUAUACUGUGUCUUGGAUGUUUCUAUUUUCAAGCAGGAACUAAUUUUCUAAAUACCUAGGGGAGAUGAACCCUAUGAUGAAUUUUGUCUUUUGAUUUUUAUUUUACGCAAUAAAUACUUAAAUAUUAUUCUCAAUUAUGUGAACUUAAUUCUUUGUUUGAUAUUUCUAAAUUAUUGAUCCAUGUUUGAUGUUCUUCAACCAGUGGUUGAAUAAAACCUGUUUAAGAUUAGAUUUUGAGCAAUUGACUGAAGUUGCAUGGAAUCCUAGAAAUAGGACGACAUAAAUCUACUAGAUUAGAGUCAAAUCUAAUUGAGGAAUCCAUAAUUUAAGGAUUUCUAUGGAUCAAGAUACUAAGUAAAGGAAUUGCGCAAUUUAGAUUAGUAGUGACAGAUGAAAUCUAGGCGGAUUCUUUCAUGGGUACUAUUUUUAAUUGAUCACUCGAAUUAUUUAGUUAAAUAAUAGAAAGACGGUAAUUACUAGUACUUAUAAUCCUCGUGGGAAUCGCUCACCGUAGCUAUACUAUUAAUUGAUAGGUGCACUUGCCUUACUCAAACUUUUAGUUAGUUUCGUGGACAUCACAACCAUCAUAGCCAGCCCUAAUUGGACAAAGCCUUUUGUUAUUAUGUUCGAUGCAAGUGAUCAUGCAUUUGGAGUAGUAUUGGGACAAGACAAAAACAAGGUAUUUCACGUUAUUCAUUACGCAAGUAAGACACUUAAUCCAACUCAAUGCAAUUACACUACCAAGGAGAAAGAAAUGUUAGCAGUUGUAUUUUCAUGUGAGAAAUUCAUAUUGUAUCUGAUGUCAAACUGAGUUUAUGUCUAUAUGGACCACUCAACAUUGAAGUACAUGAUAAUAUUAGUGUGUAAGCAAGUCUCAAUAUUAAUUUCAUACAUUUAAGAGACUUGCAUAGGUAAAUGUAUUGAGAGUUUUAGGCACUUAAUUUGUUCUUAUGAUAAUAUUAGUGUGUGCGUGCUAUUUUGUUAAUAAAACCUUGUCUCGUGGUUUUACUUGCUAAAUUCAUUAUGAAUUUAGUGGUAAGAAAAUUGAUGUAACAUCCUGAUUUUUAGUGAUGUCAAAAAUAGUGGUUCAAGGCCACCAAAUCUGGCGAUUAAGCUCGUACAUUUUAUUAUUUAAUAUUUACGAGUCAAAUAUGAUUUUAGAAAGGUUUUUGAAUUAGUAAUUUGUGCUUUAUAAUGAUUUAUUCGAUUAAGUGGUUUUAGAAAAUAAGGUAUCGGGACCUUGUUUCUAUAAACCGAGCCGUAAAUAUUUUUAUAAAUAUUUACGGAGUGUCAAUAAGGUAGUAUUAAAAUUUCGUUGAAAAAUUUUGUUGUUUUGGUAGUCAAUUAAUUAAAAAGGACUAAAUUGAAAAAUGUGCAAAAUUUGCUAAUUAUAAUAACUAAAUGAUUAAAUGGAAUGAUUAAUAAAUAAAGAAUGAUCUAAAUAGCAAUUUUUCCUAAAGGAAAAAGGAUGAGGCAGCAUAAGAGAAGAAAAUAAUAAAAUAAAGCCAUUAAAUGGCAAAAUGGUAAAUAAUUUGAAAUUAAAUAAGACAAAUUGAAUUUAAAAGAAUUUCUAGACAUUUCUUCUUCAUAUUUUUGGUUCAAACAGGGAAGGGGGAGUGCUCAAGCUGGUUUUCAUAUUUUUGCUACAGAUUAAGAUCUGGAGGAAAAUCGAGAAAAAUAUAAAAUUACCAAAAUGCCUCUAAAUCUUGGUAUUUCUGUAGUUUAGCCUGGUAAGUUCAUAUGGCUAAAUUCAAUAUUUUGUUAUGAAAAUUUCAUGAAUAUUAUGGUAUAUUAUUGUAUAUAAAUGUUAUAAAAUUUUGAUUAUUGUAAAAUAAUGCUUAAGUAAAAGUACAAAUUAGUUGGAACGAUGGAUUUGAGUACUUUCGUUCAGAGGCCAAGACGAAUUGAUGGAAAAGACCAUGGUUGGACCAUGGCAACAUGUGAUAUGUGAUUUUCGUAUAAGACCAUAAUUGGGAUAUGGCAUCGAUGUGAUGUGAUUAUGAGUUUCCGUAUAAGACUAUAUUUGGGAUAUGGCAUUAGUGUGAUAUGUGCUACUGUGUAGGACUAUAUCUGGGAUAUGGCAUCAGUGUGAUAUGUGAUCCGUAUAAAACUAUAGCUGGACUAUGGCAUUCUGAUGAUAAGACAUAACUGGGUUAUGGCACUAUGAACGUAAGAUCAUGGUUGGAUUAUGACAGUGUUUAUAUGUAAGACCAUAGCUGGCCUAUGGCAUUCUGGUGAUAAGACCAUAACUAAGUUAUGGCACUAUGAAUGUAAAGAAUGAAUUAACGGAAAAUGUAAAAGAUGAAUUGACGGCAAAUUACCCAAGUAAACCGAGGUUCAACAUUUGUUGUGAACUUUCGUGUUUACUAUCUGUUUAGCUCUCAUGAGCUUCUGUUCAACCUUCGGGCCUCUAAAAACGAGGUACUCAUAUCCGUAAGUCGUUCUUCGAAAGGUAAAAUAUCGGGAGUUGUCUUGAAUAUUAUAUAUAUGUAUAUGAAGAAAUGGUAAGAGAAUGAUAUGUAUUAUAAUAUGUAUUUAUAUCAAUAUCUUGAUAUGUUGAUAUAUGGAAAUUAUGUAAGUGGAGACAAGUAAUGAACUCAAGUGUAACAUGUUGAGAUAGUAAGGUUAUCGAUGUUGAAAUUAUAUGAAAUAUGUUCAAGUACGCUAACAAGUGUUGUUGUUUAAUGCUUACGCAAAUGCCAAGCUAUUAAUUGAAUGGUGAUAUGUUUAAUUAUAAGAUGCAUUGAAAUGGUAAGUGCUCAAAUGAAAAUAUGCUUGUGUUCAUGAAAGAGUGGUAAGUUUAAAGUUAUGUAAUUUCUUAAGAAAAGACUUAUUAUACGAUUAAUUCGAAAAAGGCUAUGUUUAAAUGCAUUAACUUGUGGCUAUGGUUGAAUGAUAUGGUUAUGACUGGUGUGUUAUGCAUAUGGAAUAAGUGUAGAAAGUAAAGAAAUGCAAAUGAAAAUAAAGAAAUUCGAAAGAGUAUAAAGUUGUUUAAAAUCCUAUAUUACUAAGGAUAAUAUGUACAAGCGAUGAUGUGGAUUUAUUUACCUUGUGAGUUGAUGAAUAUAGCCACAUGAGCAUUGUGGUAUCAAUAUUAAAUUAUUCUUGAUAUUUAUAAAUUUCAUAUUUGAAAUGAAUGGUCAUGAUUAAAGUUUAUACGAGCUUACUAAGCAUUUAUAGCUUAUGUACUUGUUUUUCUUUACUUUUCAGAUUAUUAGAAGCUCGAUUGGGUUGGAAGCUUGUCGGAGUUUUAUCACACUAUCCAUUGGUUCUAUCGGUAAUUUUGGAUGAUUUGAUUUUGGUUAUAAUGGCAUGUAUAAGUUGAUUUGGCCAACGUUGGCUCAUUAAUAUUUUUUUUAUUUUGAUUGGUUUCAAAUAUGAAUGCUAGAUGAAAUGAAAUGUCUGAUAAUUAAUUUGUAAAUUUUGGUAAUGCUCCGUAACCCUGUUCUGGUGAUGGAUUAGGGUUAAGGGUGUUACAUUUAUUGGUAUCAGAGCUAUGGUUUAGUCGGGUCUCGAACUAAACGUAGCAUAUGAUAAGUUUAGAAAUACAUGCCAUUAUAUAACAAAUGAUAGUGUGAUAUCUCCCGACUAUAAUGAGAUUUGUUUUAUUUUUAGACAGAGAUACUUUCCAACCGAGCUAAUUUCGAUAAUGCUGAAAGUGAUACUCAAGUAUUUGAUUAAAAAGUUGUUUAUGAUGGGUAGAGACGGAAUUUAUAAAGGUAUGAAAUAAAUGUUUUAUAAUACAUGUCAAUGAUGAAUAUUAUGUUAUAUGUUUGUGUAUAUGAGAGUCAAAUUUAAGGCUUUACGACCUUCACCCCCUUACUUGUGCGUCUUAUACAAUGGAAAUUCACAAGAUUUAUAUUGAUUAAGUUUACAAGUGUGAAAUCAAAGAGUUAAAUGGCUGAAUGAUUAAUAAUGCGGUCAGAACUGAGAAUGGGUUAACAAGUAAAGACGGUUUUAAAAGAGAUAUCAGAUUUUUCUGAAGAUUAUUCGAGAUACAUAAUGUUGUUAUUAAGGAAGAAGUUAUUCACGAGUAAUCAACUUAUUCAGGUAUGGUAUCUAAAGAAUGGGUUAACUGGAAAAUUCUUUUGAAUUGAUUUCUUUAGUGAUUGGGAUAAUGUAAGAAUAUUGAUGACUUUAGUAGUCAGAGGAAUAGUGUUAAAAUUUCAAAGAUAUCUCAAUGUAGCUGUUAUAUUCGAGUAUCUUAUAGUGAUCUCUUCUGGGUAUUCUAUAUUCUUUUAUCUUUAGAGGUAUAUGAAAUUGUUCAUUUUCAGAUGUGAUUCUUAUCAUAUGGAAAGGCUAGUUAAUCAUAACGUUGGACGAAAGUAUUGUUGGUCUGGUUGAUUUAUGAUUGGCAUUGCUCUAUCUUUCUUUGGCAUUCUAUUCUAUUAUGUUUGGUAGAAGAUUUAAUGAUAAAACACAUAUAAUGUUAUUUUAUUUCUUCUACUGGUUGAAGCUCUGAAAUAUAUAUUUGUAAUUUAUGUUGUCCCUGUCACAAUUGAUUUCAGUGCAUAUGAGCGAUAUUCUUCUUCUGGAUUUUCUCUGGGAUAUUAUUGAUCUCUUUAUUAUUCAAUGUGGUUUAUAUUCUCGAAAAUUCAGUAUAGCUUCAUAUUUGGGAUUUUAUUAUCUCAGUUUUUUUAUCAUUCUUAUGGUUUAAUCUUAUCUAUCAAACAUGGUUCGUCUAUAAAAGAUAUUUAUGGGCCGUAGAUAAUUACAUAUAUUACUAUUAUAAAUUCUGGUUUGAACAUGGAAGCAUGGAAAUGUAGAUCUCAGAGUAUAAAGAUCUUAGAGUGCAUUAUUGAUAUUGAGGUAUUAUUCUAUCUAUAUGGUUGAAACGUUGGUCCUAUUAUAGUAUUAUGGUUUGUAAUCUAUCUGAUGGUUGUGGUUUUGGUAUAGCUCAAAGCUUCGAUGUUAAUAAUUGAAAUAGCCCUAUAAUAUAUAAUCCCUCUCUAGUUUUCGGGACAAGGGUUGACAUCGGUAAAAGUGUAGAUGGUGGAAGAUUGAGCUCAAAUUUGUACAUUGGUUUUCAUUCUUCAGGUAAUCUCGAAUUAUGUCAACAAGUAAAUAAUGAGAUGUCAUAAUUCGUUUGAGUUAGUGCAGUUUGUGGUAAUUUUCGGUUGGUAUUCCGAGAGAAUUAUAAUAUAUGGUAUAUCUGGAUUGUCUUAACAAUAAGAAGAAGAGAUUAUUCUAAAAAAUUAUUCUUUGAUAGAUAUAAUCGACUCAGUCAUUCUAAUCAGAGUGGGUUAUUCAUUUGAAAGGUUAAUUGAGUUAUACACAUUUGAGUUUAUCUUCAGGUUCGAGAAUAAAUUUUGUACAUUCACGGGUAAAUUGACAAACCGUCAGAAUAAGUGAUUCAUAUUCUUGUAGACAUGAUACAGAAAUCUAUCUAUUAGAUCAGUUCUAAUUAGGAAAUGGUAUUAUGGACUAAAGUCGUUUCAAUAGUGAAGCUAUUGUGCUUGUGUUAAACAAUAUUGCUUGACACUUUCCAUAUAAGGAGAAAUAAAUAUAAGUUGAGAGUUACAGAUGUAGACAUGCUAGAAGCAUUAGUUUUGAUAAAUAAGGUUUCUUCGUUAUGUUUCGUUAGACGAUUACUGGGAGUUUCUCGAUAAUUGUGUUACUGAUGAUAAAGACAUGACGGGAGAAGAUCAUAGUUGUUCAGUUAAGUUCUGAAAUGAUAUCAAUUUUAAUAUGAAUUCUAAUGUGAUAAAUUUCGAGGAUGAAAUUUCCUAAGAGGGAGAGUUAUAAUAAAAUUUACGGGCUUACUCGCUAGAUUUGGUGGCCUUGAACCACUGUUUCUGACAUCACUGAAAAUCGAGCUGUUACAAUCGAGACUUCAAAAAUACAAACGUAAGGGAAAUUAUUAUAGGGUGCGAUUGAUUAGGUUCACUUUGUAUAAUUGUUAAAGAGAGUGGAUAUUUCUUUCUAAUCUAGGCUCCACAGACAUAGAAAAAUCGAACUGCGUGAACAACUCCAUGUUUUCCCGUGUUCACUAUUUUACAAUUAGUGGUUUAAAGAGUGCCCACCUUCUUAAACACCACUUCACCUGAGCAAGUACGAUUCUCAACAAUGUCUAAAUUAUUUCAACCUCAUAGGUUUUUAUUUUUAUUUUCAUUUUCUUAACAAUUUUGAAUGAUUUCAAAUUUCAAAUUUACUUUUCUUUUGCUUGUAACAUGGUAAUUUUGCCAUUUUAUUAAUAAAUUAUUUUUUGCUGGGAUUUUUUUUAGGAUUUUCUUGUUUCAUAUAUCUAUUUUUUCUCUAACUAAGAAGGGAAAUUAAAUAAAAGAAAAAGUAGUUAAUUAUAUGCUAAAAUUAGAUUGUGUGGACAUAUCUUACGGUGAGACUAUUUUUAUGAAGGUCGAAAAAAUACUAUAAAAGCUUCACUAGUUCCACUUCCUUAAUUCACCUCUUUCAUUUUAUUUUCCUAUUGUGUUUCAUCCAAAAUAAGAGAAGAGACCAUGGAGGUCAACCAUUUCAUCCUCGCCCUUAUCUCUCUCUCUUGUCUCUUCUCUGUCUCUGCUAAUGCCCCUCCACCCUUUUCCAAUGCUUUUAGCCCUGCUUCUUCAGAACUUUAUGAUAUGAUCGCGGUCAUGUCUGAAUCACCGUCACCAUUUGCAUUCGAUGGUACAACAUUGGAAAGCAUUGAUGAUUUAUUGAGCAUACUACCUGGUGGUGUCGACCCUGCCCUUCAGCAAAUCUGUGGGAACACCGAUCACCCCGUCGAAUGUAUCAUAGCAACUAUGCCAUUCCUAGAUGAGAAUGCUCCUAUUGAGCCUCUUUCUGUCCUUAAAGCUGGGAUUAAAGCAAUGGAUAACCAGACCAAAAAUGCAUUGGCGGAGGUUACAAAGCUUUCAAUGGACCCCACUACCCCUAAAACUAUUGUUCCCAUCCUCCAAACAUGCAUUGAUGUCUACAAUAACAUUCUUAACAGUGAUCAAAAAUCCCUUGAAGCCAUCUCCAACCAUAACCUUGUUCAGUUGAGCACAGAGCUAGGCACCAAUGUGGAAAAUGUACUCGGUUGUGACAAUGCUUUCAAACAGGCUAAGCUUGAAUCUCCAAUGAAGGACAUGGAUGCAAUGCUUGCAAAUAUCAUUAGCAACACCUUGACCAUUGGUGUCGACAUGGUCCACUUUUAGAGGAACAAACGAUUAAAAGGACGACUACAAACACAUGAAGCCUAAGUGGGAUAUUAUAAUUUUAUUGUUUCAUCCUUUGAAAAGAAGCAGGAAGUAUAUAAGAACCUUAGUCACUAUUUCUUAUUGUUAAAUGAAGAUAUAAUUUGCUCAAGAAUUAC
This 10920-nucleotide long non-coding RNA is filed under the name Gossypium barbadense (sea-island cotton). RNAcentral describes it as "long non-coding RNA (GBAR_LNC020594)". Lineage: Eukaryota; Viridiplantae; Streptophyta; Magnoliopsida; Malvales; Malvaceae. The record is from RNAcentral.